Molecule: ribosomal RNA, 465 nt
Filed under: Vreelandella stevensii
Lineage: Bacteria; Pseudomonadati; Pseudomonadota; Gammaproteobacteria; Oceanospirillales; Halomonadaceae
Description: partial 16S ribosomal RNA
Rfam family: Bacterial small subunit ribosomal RNA
Source: RNAcentral
CCUACGGGCGGCAGCAGUGGGGAAUAUUGGACAAUGGGGGCAACCCUGAUCCAGCCAUGCCGCGUGUGUGAAGAAGGCCCUCGGGUUGUAAAGCACUUUCAGUGAGGAAGAACGCCUGGUGGUUAAUACCCAUCAGGAAAGACAUCACUCACAGAAGAAGCACCGGCUAACUCCGUGCCAGCAGCCGCGGUAAUACGGAGGGUGCGAGCGUUAAUCGGAAUUACUGGGCGUAAAGCGCGCGUAGGUGGCUUGAUAAGCCGGUUGUGAAAGCCCCGGGCUCAACCUGGGAACGGCAUCCGGAACUGUCAAGCUAGAGUGCAGGAGAGGAAGGUAGAAUUCCCGGUGUGGCGGUGAAAUGCGUAGAGAUCGGGAGGAAUACCAGUGGCGAAGGCGGCCUUCUGGACUGACACUGACACUGAGGUGCGAAAGCGUGGGUAGCAAACAGGAUUAGAUACCCCUGUAGUC